This is a long non-coding RNA of Leopardus geoffroyi (Geoffroy's cat), 383 nucleotides long. RefSeq lists it as uncharacterized. The transcript has 3 exons. Lineage: Eukaryota; Metazoa; Chordata; Mammalia; Carnivora; Felidae. The record is from RefSeq and is a predicted model, not a curated record.
GUGGUCAAAUGUUUCUGUGCAGAGAGCAAGAUGGAGUCACUCAUGUCAAGCAGAGGCCCGUUUCGAGCAAUGACACAGCAGGUUUCCUCCUCGGACUCAUUCCCCAAGAUCCGAUUUGAUUCACGGAGCAUUUACUGAGCCCUUCCAAUGUGCCCAGCAGUAUGGUAGUUGCUGAGAACACGCGUAGCGCGCAGGUGCUAAUUUGGAGUUAGCGUCUCUAGCAUUUUGAGACUAAAGGCUUGAAAAGGUGGUGUUGCCUCGAAUGGAAGACGACACUUGAUUUUCUCCACAUGGCAGAGAAGCUGGCCGACCGCUGACUCUGCAUCACAUCCUCCCAGUUCCAUGUUCUAAAAGGCAACUCCCCUUCUCCUCCAGCUCCAAGC